AGUGAACGCUGGCGGUAGGCCUAACACAUGCAAGUCGAACGGCAGCACAGUAAGAGCUUGCUCUUACGGGUGGCGAGUGGCGGACGGGUGAGGAAUACAUCGGAAUCUACUUUUUCGUGGGGGAUAACGUAGGGAAACUUACGCUAAUACCGCAUACGACCUACGGGUGAAAGCAGGGGAUCUUCGGACCUUGCGCGAUUGAAUGAGCCGAUGUCGGAUUAGCUAGUUGGCGGGGUAAAGGCCCACCAAGGCGACGAUCCGUAGCUGGUCUGAGAGGAUGAUCAGCCACACCGGAACGGAGCCAGGGACCAGACUCCUACGGGAGGCAGCAGUGGGGAAUAUUGGACAAUGGGCGCAAGCCUGAUACAGCCAUACCGCGUGGGUGAAGAAGGCCUUCGGGUUGUAAAGCCCUUUUGUUGGGAAAGAAAAGCAGCAGGUUAAUACCCCGCUGUUCUGACGGUACCCAAAGAAUAAGCACCGGCUAACUUCGUG
Molecule: ribosomal RNA, 492 nt
Filed under: uncultured bacterium
Lineage: Bacteria
Description: partial 16S ribosomal RNA
Rfam family: Bacterial small subunit ribosomal RNA
Source: RNAcentral